Molecule: ribosomal RNA, 229 nt
Filed under: uncultured bacterium
Lineage: Bacteria
Description: partial 16S ribosomal RNA
Rfam family: Bacterial small subunit ribosomal RNA
Source: RNAcentral
UGCGCAGGCGGACUUUUAAGUCAGUGGUGAAAUCCCGAGGCUCAACCUCGGAACUGCCAUUGAUACUGGAAGUCUUGAAUUUGGUUGAAGUGGGCGGAAUGUAGCAUGUAGCGGUGAAAUGCUUAGAUAUGCUACAGAACACCGAUCGCGAAGGCAGCUCACUAAGCCAAUAUUGACGCUCAGGCACGAAAGCGCGGGGAGCAAACAGGAUUAGAUACCCUGGUAGUCC